Molecule: ribosomal RNA, 468 nt
Filed under: uncultured bacterium
Lineage: Bacteria
Description: partial 16S ribosomal RNA
Rfam family: Bacterial small subunit ribosomal RNA
Source: RNAcentral
GAUGAACGCUGGCUGCGUGCUUAACACAUGCAAGUCGAACGGAAAGGCCCAAGCUUGCUUGGGUACUCGAGUGGCGAACGGGUGAGUAACACGUGGGUGAUCUGCCCUGCACUUCGGGAUAAGCCUGGGAAACUGGGUCUAAUACCGGAUAGGACCACUUCUUGGAUGUUGUGGUGGAAAGUUUUUCGGUGUGGGAUGAGCUCGCGGCCUAUCAGCUUGUUGGUGGGGUAAUGGCCUACCAAGGCGUCGACGGGUAGCCGGCCUGAGAGGGUGUACGGCCACAUUGGGACUGAGAUACGGCCCAGACUCCUACGGGAGGCAGCAGUGGGGAAUAUUGCACAAUGGGCGCAAGCCUGAUGCAGCGACGCCGCGUGGGGGAUGACGGCCUUCGGGUUGUAAACUCCUUUCGCUAGGGACGAAGCUUAUUUUGUGACGGUACCUGGAGAAGAAGCACCGGCUAACUACGUG